AUUUUUUCACACCCAUUUUGUUCACAGCAAAAAUAUUAACAGAUACUUUUUUUGUUUUUGUUUUUUCCUGUAAUGAUUUUACUGGAUUUAAAAUGUACUCUGGCUUAUCUACAUAAGACCGUAAAAUAGCACUUAGAGAAAAAGCUAUAUUCAUUGGGUGGCUGCAUAAUCUUCAACAUAAUUAAAAUAACUUAAACAAAAGGGGGAAAUGUAGUAGAAGUCUACUAAAGUCGAUGUAUCUAGAGUAAACCUCAGAAUGAAUAGUUUCCUGGUACUUAGACCUUGAAGAAAGCAUUGUGAAAAACAGUGAUUGUUUUCUGUGAUUUAUAAAGUUGUUUUUCUGAAGUUUUACAGCCUUUGAAUGACUUUAGUCACAAGAUGGUCCUAGCAAACCUGGAACAUCUUGCAUUAUUGGGUACUGCAAACAGUGCGCAAUAAAGACUAAAGUUGCAGAUGUGUGAUGUUUUCCUUCACAAAACAUAUAGAUCAGGGACUCUGGUAUGAGGAACUUGUUUUACUCCCCAAACAACUUUUGUGUAACAAUCAAUAAACAUGCUUCUGCAUGGCUGUUCGAGGUUCAGUCCAAUGAGGCUGUAAGUCCCUGCUUGCCUGUAAGGUCUAACUUUAACCCUGGAGUGAUUUUCUUUCUUUGAUCAUCUCUACAACUCAAUCACCAACAGGAAGUGACAGCUCACACACGUGAGUGCUUCCACACAUGAACAGAAGCUGGGCAGGAUAGUUUUCUAUCGGGGGUAACAAUUCCCAAAUUGCCUGUAGAUCCAAUCGACUCCAAGGCGGGCAUAUUUGUCCUCUGUGCAGUGCUGCUCUGAAGCCCCACGGCCAUCACAACUCCCGGCUGACAGGCUUCAUAGUCAUUGAGAAGGCUGAACUGAGCAAUAGCAGUUCAUUUUCAUAAAGCCUGAAAUCAGAGAUCCCUUCCUGGAAUCCAGUCGUCAGCUCUUUCAUUCUGGGAAUGUCGUUCAGGCCACAGCUUUCAUUUUCAGAAACUAAUUUCAGCAUGGAGAAACGGGCCAGACAGGGUCCUUGUCAAAGACAAGAUAAAGACAGUUUUGCCAGGAAUGAGCGAAGUGAAUCAUGCAUUUGAGUAACUACAAUGGACAUCCUUGCCAAGAACUACCCAGCAUAUUUAAGUGGCUUGUGAUAUCAGUCAGGAAGGCCAAGUCUUUGUCCUUAUUUCUGCUCCCAUGCUCAGGCAUGGGGUUCCCUGCAGAAGACGUGAACAAGUCAGUUCCUCCCAAUAGUUCAAAGUCUGCUUCUUCAGUAUCCUAACACAACUCGGCUGGCCGUAUUGCCCAACUAACUCUCUGAACUCCUGUGGUAUGAGGAAAGGAAGAGGGGUGUCCGGGUUAUGGUGUGAGGCUGGUCAGGGCUAUUGGCUAAGUAGUUAGGGAUGACCUUGAACUCCUGACUCACCUACCUCCACCUCAGUGACAGGAUCCAAGUAGGUUUCCAGCACAAUGAUUCCUGGCCAGUAACCCCAUGCACAGACUUAAGCUCUCAACAAAGCCCCACUUCGGAUUCCAGUAUUGGAAUAAACUGCUUAACACCACCCAUAGCCAAAUUACCAUCAAGCUAACCAAGUUAACACAUACUGAUUUUAACCAGUCCACACUAACUUUUUUUUUUUUUUUUUUGGUUUUUCGAGACAGGGUUUCUCUGUCUAGCUUUGGAGUCUAUCCUGGCACUCACUCUGGAGACCAGGCUGGCCUCAAACUCACAGAGAUCCACCUGCCUCUGCCUCCCUAGUGCUGGGAUUAAAGGCAUGCUCCACCAAUGCCUGGCUCACAUUAGCCUUUUUUAAUUGGUUUUUCUGAGACAGGGUUUCUCUGUGUAGUCCUGCUGUCCUGGAACUCACUCUGUAGACCAAGCUGGCCUGGAACUCACCGAGAUCCACCAGCCUCUGCCUCCUGAAUGCAGGGAUUAAAGGUGUACGUUACCACCACCCCGAGCCACGACUUCUUUUCUUGUUUAGUUACAUUUGGACCGCUGGAGAUGGCUCAGCUUUUCAGAAUGCACACUACCCACCAUAGGUGGCUCACAACCACCUGUAACUCCAGCUCCAGAAGGAUCAGUGCCUCUGGCUUCCAUCAACACCCACACAACUAUUCACACAUAUACACAUAAUUAAAAAAAUAAUAAACAUUGUUUAAAAUCACAUUUCUGUGCGUGUGUGUUGUGUGUAUAUGAUUGCACUAGCGGAAGCACACGUGUGGAGAUCAGGAGUUGGCUCUCACUUUGAGCCAUGUGGGACUUAAAGCUCUUUUACCUGCUGGCCAGCCUCCUCAGUCUGGAAUUAUUCGUUCCUCUUACCCAUCUCCCUUUUUCUGGCAGCAGCUAAGAUUUACAUUUGCCUGCCCUAUUGUUUUUCUUUUAAAUUCCAAUAAAAUGGUCCUUGGUUUUAAAAUUAUUAUAUUAACUAAACUAAGAACCAACAAAAGGGAACGCCGAAUUCCAGGUUAACACCACCACCCUGAGCCUACUUUUAAUUUUCAUUUGUAAUGCUUUGUGCACACCAGAAAACAUUAAAAAUUGGUAUAAAAACAUGACACUUAUUGGUGCACAGUGUGGUUCAGUAUAGCAUCUUCUGCUUUUGCAACAACCUAGAAAUGGAAAUUCCUCAACCUAAAAUGAGCAAACAUCUAAGGAAUUCUCCUGUUUUAAAAUAACGCUCCAAAAUACUUAACAUUACUACCAACUAUUCAAAUGGAAUAAAGAUCUCAUGCCAACACAAAAACAGCACCCACAACUCAAAUGCCUCACUCUCCAGCCCCAGUAACACUGGAGUAAACAUUCAUUAUACACAGCACCUCAGAAAGAACACUGGUCCUCAAGCCAUAACCCGGAACCCCUGCUGCCUAAGUUGGCCCGCACAUUCCUGUCCCCAGUGGCUUCCCUCUUGUUAAGUCAUCGGUGGUGCCGGGACCCCCGACAGACACACGCACACGCGCGCGCACACACACACACAUGCUCCAGCGCAACAAGGCUGCACCACUCCAGUGCAGCAGGCCAGCUCCUCCACCCAAGGCCCCGGAGGAAGCUGGCCUUUCGGGUCAGGUGGCUCAAGUCCGCAGGACGGUCCAGGAGAUUUUGGCUCCGGAUGGGGAGCACGCCCGGCAAGAUUCUGGGACCUGGGAGCUGACGGAGCCGCAAAAAGUAGAAAUAAUGGAGCCAGCUGACCAAAGACUGAAACCCCAGCCAAAAGAAAUCUUAUUUGUUUUUGUUUGUUUGUUUGUUUUUUGUGGGUAGUCUCACCAUGUAGCCCAGGCUAACUUCAAACUCAUUAUCUUCCUAUCAUCACUUCCAAAGCACUGAGAUUAUAGCUAUGUGUCACCAUGCCC
Molecule: long non-coding RNA, 3359 nt
Filed under: Cricetulus griseus (Chinese hamster)
Lineage: Eukaryota; Metazoa; Chordata; Mammalia; Rodentia; Cricetidae
Description: lncRNA (ENSCGRG00015036138.1)
Source: RNAcentral